GUGCUUGCUUUGGCAGUAUAUAUACUAAAACUGGAACGAUACAGAGAAGAUUAGCAUGGCCCCUAAGCAAGGAAGACAGACAAACUCAUGAAGUGUUCUAUAUUCUU
Molecule: small nuclear RNA, 107 nt
Filed under: Carlito syrichta (Philippine tarsier)
Lineage: Eukaryota; Metazoa; Chordata; Mammalia; Primates; Tarsiidae
Source: RNAcentral